RNAcentral lists this unclassified non-coding RNA (248 nucleotides) under Hevea brasiliensis (rubber tree). Lineage: Eukaryota; Viridiplantae; Streptophyta; Magnoliopsida; Malpighiales; Euphorbiaceae. The record is from RNAcentral.
AGGUCACUGAUUAUUUUAUUGAAAGACAACAACUAUAUAUUAUACUUUUUUUUAUGUAGAUUCAAUUAAUAUUAGAUGGGGCUGUUGGAUCUCUUCAUCACUGCAUCAAUGCCCGUCCUCAAAGUUCUUUUGAUUACCGCACUUGGAUUAAUACUUGCUCUCGAUCGUAUCGAUUUACUGGGACAAGAUGCAAGAAAGCAUUUGAAUAAUAUUGUAUUUUUUGUAUUGAAUCCAGCCCUUGUCUCCAG